This 794-nucleotide ribosomal RNA is filed under the name Diacronema noctivaga. RNAcentral's name for it is "eukaryotic LSU rRNA". It matches the Rfam family "Eukaryotic large subunit ribosomal RNA", at positions 219 to 1004 of the family's 3401-position model. The record is from RNAcentral. Lineage: Eukaryota; Haptophyta; Pavlovophyceae; Pavlovales; Pavlovaceae.
UCCCGUCCUGCUCGGAUCUAUCCAUUCUAGUUCUACCGGAGAGUCGGGUUGCUCGGGAUUGCAGCCUGAAUGGGAGGUAAAUUUCUCCUAAAGCUAAAUACUGGCGAGAGACCGAUAGCGAACAAGUACCGUGAGGGAAAGAUGCAAAGAACUUUGAAAAGAGAGUUAAAAAGUACCUGAACUUGUUGGGGGGAAAGCGUUUGCUCCCAGUGUGUCCGCGCCGAUUCAGCCCGUAAGGGUGCACUUCUGCGUGGGCGGUCAGGGUGGAUUUGGCGCGGCGUUGUCGGCCCCCGCAAGGUCUUCGGGCACCCGGGUGGUCUGGCGUCGCUCUGGAUCGAGGCUCGCUCUGCGUCGCUGUCGGCUGAUCGUUUGCCCGUCUCACAAGCAACUUGUGCUCGGGGUGCGUGACUCCUUAGGCGUCUCGUAGCGUGACCCUGACGAAAUGGUGGCAACCGACCCGUCUAGAAACACGGACCAAGGAGUCUGACGACUGCGCGAGUCUUCGGGUGGCAACCCCGUGGGCGUAAUGAAAGUGAGAGAUGCUCAGCAUCGACCGACCGUGAUCUCCUGUGAAUGGUUUGAGUAUGAGCGUGGUCGCCGGGACCCGAAAGAUGGUGAACUAUGCCUGAGGAGGGUGAAGCCUGAAGAAAUUCAGGUGGAGGCUCGUAGCGAUACUGACGUGCAAAUCGUUCGUCGAACUUGGGUAUAGGGGCGAAAGACUAAUCGAACCAUCUAGUAGCUGGUUCCCUCCGAAGUUUCCCUCAGGAUAGCUGGAGCUCUUGAUUCAGUUUUGU